GAUGAACGCUGACAGAAUGCUUAACACAUGCAAGUCAACUUGAACUUCGGUUUGGGUGGCGGACGGGUGAGUAACGCGUAAAGAACUUGCCUCACAGCCAGGGACAACAUUUGGAAACGAAUGCUAAUACCUGAUAUUAUGAUUAUAUGGCAUCGUAUAAUUAUGAAAGCUAUAUGCGCUGUGAGAGAGCUUUGCGUCCCAUUAGCUAGUUGGAGAGGUAACAGCUCACCAAGGCGAUGAUGGGUAGCCGGCCUGAGAGGGUGAUCGGCCACAAGGGGACUGAGACACGGCCCUUACUCCUACGGGAGGCAGCAGUGGGGAAUAUUGGACAAUGGACCGAGAGUCUGAUCCAGCAAUUCUGUGUGCACGAUGAAGUUUUUCGGAAUGUAAAGUGCUUUCAGUUGGGAAGAAAAAAAUGACGGUACCAACAGAAGAAGUGACGGCUAAAUACGUG
RNAcentral lists this ribosomal RNA (454 nucleotides) under uncultured bacterium. RNAcentral's name for it is "partial 16S ribosomal RNA". It matches the Rfam family "Bacterial small subunit ribosomal RNA", at positions 28 to 507 of the family's 1533-position model. The record is from RNAcentral.